AGAGUUUGAUCAUGGCUCAGGAUGAACGCUAGCUACAGGCUUAACACAUGCAAGUCGAGGGGAAACGACAUCGAAAGCUUGCUUUUGAUGGGCGUCGACCGGCGCACGGGUGAGUAACGCGUAUCCAACCUGCCCACCACUUGGGGAUAACCUUGCGAAAGUAAGACUAAUACCCAAUGACGUCUCUAGAAGACAUCUGAAAGGGAUUAAAGAUUUAUCGGUGAUGGAUGGGGAUGCGUCUGAUUAGCUUGUUGGCGGGGUAACGGCCACCGAAAGCAACGAUCAGUAGGGGUUCUGAGAGGAAGGUCCCCCANAUUGGAACUGAGACACGGUCCAAACUCCUACGGGAGGCA
RNAcentral lists this ribosomal RNA (353 nucleotides) under uncultured bacterium. Its description in RNAcentral is "bacterial SSU rRNA". It matches the Rfam family "Bacterial small subunit ribosomal RNA", at positions 8 to 350 of the family's 1533-position model. The record is from RNAcentral.